RNAcentral lists this ribosomal RNA (422 nucleotides) under uncultured prokaryote. RNAcentral's name for it is "bacterial SSU rRNA". It matches the Rfam family "Bacterial small subunit ribosomal RNA", at positions 355 to 774 of the family's 1533-position model. The record is from RNAcentral.
UGAGGAAUAUUGGUCAAUGGGCGCAAGCCUGAACCAGCCAUCCCGCGUGCAGGAAGACGGCCCUAUGGGUUGUAAACUGCUUUUCCAGGGGGUGAAACUCCCGUACGAGUACGGGACUGACGGUACCUUGGGAAUAAGCAUCGGCUAACUCCGUGCCAGCAGCCGCGGUAAUACGGAGGAUGCGAGCGUUAUCCGGAUUUAUUGGGUUUAAAGGGUGCGUAGGCGGAUUAAUAAGUCAGUGGUGAAAUCCUGCAGCUUAACUGUGGAACUGCCAUUGAUACUGUUAGUCUUGAGUAUGGUCAAGGUAGGCGGAAUGUGUAAUGUAGCGGUGAAAUGCUUAGAUAUUACACAGAACACCGAUUGCGAAGGCAGCUUACUGGGCCAUUACUGACGCUGAUGCACGAAAGCGUGGGGAUCGAACA